UGAGGAAUAUUGGACAAUGGGCGCAAGCCUGAUCCAGCCAUGCCGCGUGCAGGAUGAAGCAUCUAUGGUGUGUAAACUGCUUUUGUACGGGAAGAAACCACCCCUCGUGAGGGGUAUUGACGGUACCGUAAGAAUAAGGAUCGGCUAACUCCGUGCCAGCAGCCGCGGUAAUACGGAGGAUCCAAGCGUUAUCCGGAAUCAUUGGGUUUAAAGGGUCCGUAGGCGGUUUAGUAAGUCAGUGGUGAAAGCCCAUCGCUCAACGAUGGAACGGCCAUUGAUACUGCUAGACUUGAAUUAUUAGGAAGUAACUAGAAUAUGUAGUGUAGCGGUGAAAUGCUUAGAUAUUACAUGGAAUACCAAUUGCGAAGGCAGGUUACUACUAAUGGAUUGACGCUGAUGGACGAAAGCGUGGGAGCGAACA
RNAcentral lists this ribosomal RNA (421 nucleotides) under uncultured bacterium. RNAcentral describes it as "bacterial SSU rRNA". It matches the Rfam family "Bacterial small subunit ribosomal RNA", at positions 355 to 774 of the family's 1533-position model. The record is from RNAcentral.